GGAAAGGCGAAAAGAACCCCGGCGAGGGGAGUGAAAAAGAACCUGAAACCGUGUACGUACAAGCAGUGGGAGCCUCUUUUAUGGGGUGACUGCGUACCUUUUGUAUAAUGGGUCAGCGACUUAUAUUCUGUAGCAAGGUUAACCGAAUAGGGGAGCCGAAGGGAAACCGAGUCUUAACUGGGCGUUAAGUUGCAGGGUAUAGACCCGAAACCCGGUGAUCUAGCCAUGGGCAGGUUGAAGGUUGGGUAACACUAACUGGAGGACCGAACCGACUAAUGUUGAAAAAUUAGCGGAUGACUUGUGGCUGGGGGUGAAAGGCCAAUCAAACCGGGAGAUAGCUGGUUCUCCCCGAAAGCUAUUUAGGUAGCGCCUCGUGAAUUCAUCUCCGGGGGUAGAGCACUGUUUCGGCAAGGGGGUCAUCCCGACUUACCAACCCGAUGCAAACUGCGAAUACCGGAGAAUGUUAUCACGGGAGACACACGGCGGGUGCUAACGUCCGUCGUGAAGAGGGAAACAACCCAGACCGCCAGCUAAGGUCCCAAAGUCAUGGUUAAGUGGGAAACGAUGUGGGAAGGCCCAGACAGCCAGGAUGUUGGCUUAGAAGCAGCCAUCAUUUAAAGAAAGCGUAAUAGCUCACUGGUCGAGUCGGCCUGCGCGGAAGAUGUAACGGGGCUAAACCAUGCACCGAAGCUGCGGCAGCGACACUAUGUGUUGUUGGGUAGGGGAGCGU
RNAcentral lists this ribosomal RNA (730 nucleotides) under Escherichia coli. RNAcentral's name for it is "partial 23S ribosomal RNA". It matches the Rfam family "Bacterial large subunit ribosomal RNA", at positions 508 to 1239 of the family's 2925-position model. The record is from RNAcentral. Lineage: Bacteria; Pseudomonadati; Pseudomonadota; Gammaproteobacteria; Enterobacterales; Enterobacteriaceae.